AGCGUCAGAUGGGUAUAAGAGACAGGUGAAUCAUCGAAUCUUUGAACGCACAUUGCGCCCCUUGGUAUUCCGAGGGGCAUGCCUGUUCGAGCGUCAUUAUAACCACUCAAGCCUAGCUUGGUAUUGGGGUUCGCGUGCUCGCGGCCCUUAAAAUCAGUGGCGGUGCCGUCUGGCUCUAAGCGUAGUAAUUCUCUCGCUACAGAGUCCCGGCGGUGACCUGCCAGAACCCCCCAUUUUCUAAGGUUGACCUCGGAUCAGGUAGGGAUACCCGCUGAACUUAAGCAUAUCAAUAAGCGGAGG
Molecule: unclassified non-coding RNA, 300 nt
Filed under: uncultured Helotiales
Lineage: Eukaryota; Fungi; Ascomycota; Leotiomycetes; Helotiales
Description: sequence contains 5.8S rRNA gene, ITS2
Rfam family: 5.8S ribosomal RNA (bases 1-96)
Source: RNAcentral